AAGAAAGAAAGAAAGAAAGAAAGAAAGAAAGAAAGAAAGAAAGAAAAACAUGUUUAGGAAAACCAAGUUCCAGAAUACAGAGGAAAAAAAUAAAAGUUCACACGAAGGAGAAGUUCAUUUCUGAGAAGUUUUGAAAACUGAAAUGAUCAACCUGUCUGAAUGCGGUCAGGCAGUUCUUUCAUUUGGCUGUUUGAACAGGAGGAGGAGGAGAGGGGCGGCUAGAACCAAAGGGGACCAUGCAAACAAUGUUUUCUGCUCUGGUCCCUGGAUCUAAGCCCCUCAGGCUUACCAGACAAAAGUAACAGUCUCUAAGAUCUGAAGGUCUUUCUAGAUGGCAACAAAAAGCCAAUGUGAGGACCUGCCCGCAGUCUCUCAGGGAUCUGGGCAAGCAAGUAGGAGCUGGUGCCUUCCGGAAGCCAGAGAUGAUUUCUUCUUUACCACGGGCCACAGUGAAACGAUCUGCAUUGGCUGCAAACCGAAAAGUCACGGAGUUCCUGUUUAAAUGUCACACGCCAGCCCCCUAUCUAAGCCUUCUAUUUAAGAAUGGAUUUUGUGUAGUAUCAGUGCGAAAGACUCUAUGCUGGUGACCACAAGAAACAACCAAAUGAACGAAGGCUCUUCUCUUUGCGUGAAAAGACUGUGAAAAACAAACAAGCCCGAAGCUCAUGGCAACGUGGGAUUUGCCUCGGAAUAAGGAGACGCUAGAGAACGAAGUGCCCAGAUGCUUUAAAUGUAUGCAGAGCAGGGGAGGCUGUCUCCCCAGAGAAGUGAUGAAACCCCGGUAGGUUUGGCUGCUCUGGCUCUUGAUGGGGACAGGGAUUUGUUCUGCCGCAUGGAGCUAGUGAGCCAGCUGCUGGCAUCAGAACGGCAAGGUCAAGGCUCUCAUUACCAUUUGCAGCUGCUUAUUGUU
Long non-coding RNA from Leopardus geoffroyi (Geoffroy's cat), 910 nucleotides. RefSeq lists it as uncharacterized. The record is from RefSeq and is a predicted model, not a curated record. NCBI's taxonomy places the organism in Eukaryota, Metazoa, Chordata, Mammalia, Carnivora, Felidae. The transcript is spliced from 2 exons.